RNAcentral lists this ribosomal RNA (254 nucleotides) under uncultured bacterium. Its description in RNAcentral is "partial 16S ribosomal RNA". It matches the Rfam family "Bacterial small subunit ribosomal RNA", at positions 524 to 776 of the family's 1533-position model. The record is from RNAcentral.
GACGGAGGGACCUACGUUGUUCGGAAUUAUUGGCGUAAAGCGGGUGUAGGUGGCUUUGUAAGUCAGGUGUGAAAGCCCCAGGGCUCAACCCUGGAAGUGCAUUUGAUACUGCGAAGCUUGAGUUGCUAGAGAGGUAAGUAGAAUUCCUGGUGUAGUGGUGAAAUACGUAGAUAUCAGGAGGAAUACCAGAGGCGAAGGCGCUUACUGGCUAGACACUGACACUCAGACCCGAAAAGCCGUGGGGAUCAAACAGG